RNAcentral lists this ribosomal RNA (253 nucleotides) under uncultured bacterium. RNAcentral's name for it is "partial 16S ribosomal RNA". It matches the Rfam family "Bacterial small subunit ribosomal RNA", at positions 524 to 776 of the family's 1533-position model. The record is from RNAcentral.
UACGAAGGGGGCGAGCGUUGUUCGGAUUUACUGGGCGUAAAGCGCGCGUAGGCGGCCCGGUAAGUCGGAUGUGAAAUCUCACGGCUCAACCGUGGAACUGCAUUUGAAACUGUCAGGCUCGAGUCCGGGAGGGGGUGGCGGAAUUCCCAGUGUAGCGGUGAAAUGCGUAGAUAUUGGGAGGAACACCAGUGGCGAAGGCGGCCACCUGGACCGGAUCUGACGCUGAUGCGCGAAAGCGUGGGUAGCAAACAGG